Molecule: ribosomal RNA, 1245 nt
Filed under: metagenome
Description: bacterial LSU rRNA
Rfam family: Bacterial large subunit ribosomal RNA
Source: RNAcentral
UGAAUACGAGACGCUAAGGCGUCGAAGUAGUGUAUGUCAUACUUCCAAGAAAAGCUUGCACUGUCAUAGAUAAAAAACGCCUGUACCAUAACCGACACAGGUGGGUAGGUAGAGUAUACUAAGGGGCGCGAGAUAACUCUCUCUAAGGAACUCGGCAAAAUAACUCCGUAACUUCGGGAGAAGGAGUGCCUUAUUCGUAAGGUUGCAAUAACAAGAUCCAAGCAACUGUUUAUCAAAAACACAGGUCUCCGCUAAGUCGUAAGACGAUGUAUGGGGGCUGACGCCUGCCCAGUGCCAGAAGGUUAAAGAAGUUGGUUAGCAAUUGCGAAGCUGAUAACUGAAGCCCUGGUGAACGGCGGCCGUAACGAUAACGGUCCUAAGGUAGCGAAAUUCCUUGUCGGGUAAGUUCCGACCCGCACGAAAGGCGUAAUGAUUUGGAUACUGUCUCGGAGAGGGGCUCGGUGAAAUAGACUUGUCUGUGAAGAUGCGGACUACCUGCACCAGGACAGAAAGACCCUAUGAAGCUUCACUGUAACUUGAAAUUGAAAUUGGACUUUAUUCGCGCAGUAUAGGUGGGAGGCGUUGAUUAUAAUCUUGUGGGAUUAUUGGAGCCAUCAGUGAGAUACCACUCUUGUAAUGUUAGAUUUCUAACUUUGAAUCAUUAUCUGGUCAAAGAACAGUUUCAGGCGGGCAGUUUGACUGGGGCGGUCGCCUCCUAAACGGUAACGGAGGCGUACAAAGGUUUCCUCUGAACGGUUAGAAAUCGUAUCUAGAGUGUAAAGGCAUAAGGAAGCUUGACUGUGAGACCUACAAGUCGAGCAGGGACGAAAGUCGGUCUUAGUGAUCUGACGGUACUGAGUGGAAAGGCCGUCACUCAACGGAUAAAAGUUACUCUAAGGAUAACAGGCUGAUCUCCCCCAAGAGUUCACAUCGACGGGGAGGUUUGGCACCUCGAUGUCGGCUCAUCGCAUCCUGGGGCGGUAGUACGUCCCAAGGGUUGGGCUGUUCGCCCAUGAAAGCGGUACGCGAGCUGGGUUCAGAACGUCGUGAGACAGUUCGGUCCAUAUCCGGUGUAGGCGUUAGAAUAUUGAGAGGAGCCUUCUUUAGUACGAGAGGACCGAGAAGGACAUACCUCUGGUGUACCAGUUAUCGUGCCAACGGUAAACGCUGGGUAGCUAUGUAUGGAGUGGAUAGCCGCUGAAAGCAUCUAAGUGGGAAGCCCACCUCAAGAUAAGUAUUCUCAUC